Molecule: transfer RNA, 72 nt
Filed under: Bos taurus (domestic cattle)
Lineage: Eukaryota; Metazoa; Chordata; Mammalia; Artiodactyla; Bovidae
Also listed under: 2 other names
Rfam family: tRNA
About the family: Transfer RNA (tRNA) molecules are approximately 80 nucleotides in length. Their secondary structure includes four short double-helical elements and three loops (D, anti-codon, and T loops).
Source: Rfam by way of RNAcentral
UCCCGUGUAGCUCAGUCGGUAAAGCAUCUGCCUGCAGUGCAGGAGACCUGGGUUCAAUUCCUGGGUCAGGAA